RNAcentral lists this ribosomal RNA (402 nucleotides) under uncultured bacterium. RNAcentral describes it as "partial 16S ribosomal RNA". It matches the Rfam family "Bacterial small subunit ribosomal RNA", at positions 360 to 774 of the family's 1533-position model. The record is from RNAcentral.
AAUAUUGCACAAUGGGCGCAAGCCUGAUGCAGCAACGCCGCGUGAGGGAUGACGGCCUUCGGGUUGUAAACCUCUUUUAGUAGGGAAGAAGCGCAAGUGACGGUACUUGCAGAAAAAGCACCGGCUAACUACGUGCCAGCAGCCGCGGUAAUACGUAGGGUGCAAGCGUUGUCCGGAAUUAUUGGGCGUAAAGAGCUCGUAGGCGGCUUGUCGCGUCUGCUGGGAAAUCCCAAGGCUUAACCUUGGGCCUGGAGUGGGUACGGGCAAGCUAGAGUGCGGUAGGGGAGAUUGGAAUUCCUGGUGUAGCGGUGGAAUGCGCAGAUAUCAGGAGGAACACCGAUGGCGAAGGCAGGUCUCUGGGCCGCAACUGACGCUGAGGAGCGAAAGCAUGGGGAGCGAACA